UUAAAAAUUUAUGGCAUGUAUUAUCCAGUUCCAAUUUUAGGUUCUAAAAGCGACUAACCCCUCUUAAUUAUCUUUUUAGGGUUUGCGUUUUUGCUUCAAUUUGGCCAUAUUUUUCUUUCAAUUGAAGCUCCCUGCUUGAUGGGAGUCAGAUUAGAAAUCCAGCCGUGCCCCCACAAAUUCUGUUGCGAUCCAAUUUUUGUGAUGCCCAAAUUAAAAUUGCCCUCUCUUGGGUCUCUUUCGCGAUAAAAAAACGGUUUCAGGAGUUUAUCAGAAAUUAGUCGACCACAUGCUACUUGAAGACAAACUGGAUUGCCUCAAAAUUAUGAAAGUAUUAUGUUGAUAGCUAUCAAGGGUUAGAAUCUUCUGUUUUGAUUUCAUAAACUAAAGCUUUGUUCAGUUUGCUGGUUGUGUUUAUGGAUAAUAAUCCAACGUUUUUUAAGGGUUGAUAGUCAUUACCCAAUUAUUGAUAGGUUAUUGAGAUAUCUAUUUUCAUCUAUAGAGGGUUCCAUAGGAUAUUUGUAAUGAAAUCGUCUGUUAUCUGAAUGGGCUUUGUUUGUUGCUGUAA
Asparagus officinalis (garden asparagus) is the source of this 565-nucleotide long non-coding RNA. RefSeq lists it as uncharacterized. The record is from RefSeq and is a predicted model, not a curated record. NCBI's taxonomy places the organism in Eukaryota, Viridiplantae, Streptophyta, Magnoliopsida, Asparagales, Asparagaceae. The transcript has 2 exons.